UACGGGGGGGGCAAGCGUUGUUCGGAAUUACUGGGCGUAAAGGGCUCGUAGGCGGCCAACUAAGUCAGACGUGAAAUCCCUCGGCUUAACCGGGGAACUGCGUCUGAUACUGGAUGGCUAGAGGUUGGGAGAGGGAUGCGGAAUUCCAGGUGUAGCGGUGAAAUGCGUAGAUAUCGGAAGGAACAUCAGUGGCGAAAGCGACUUCCUGGACCAAUACUGACGCUCAUGUGCGAAAGCGUGGGGAGCAAACAGG
This 253-nucleotide ribosomal RNA is filed under the name uncultured bacterium. Its description in RNAcentral is "partial 16S ribosomal RNA". It matches the Rfam family "Bacterial small subunit ribosomal RNA", at positions 524 to 776 of the family's 1533-position model. The record is from RNAcentral.